Molecule: non-coding RNA, 380 nt
Organism: Pelobates cultripes (western spadefoot toad)
Lineage: Eukaryota; Metazoa; Chordata; Amphibia; Anura; Pelobatidae
Source: the annotation of a GenBank genome assembly
CUUUUGCGCGCAAACAGCGGCCAUCUUGAAUCUUGCAGCACUUGCGAGAUUCACGCCGGCCAUGUCGUUUAGCCAGUUUGUGAUUCCCACUGUUUAAAAUAUUUUUCCUGCGAAAUAAAAGUUUUACAAGUACUUUUGAGCUCAAUACUAAUACAUAUCAUGGGCAUGUGGAAUAAAGGUUUUAUAUGUACCUUUUCUGGAAGAUUAUGAAUGGACUGUUCACUGCUGAGCUCUAUACUGUCAUAUUUCAGUGGCAUGUGAAAUAAAAGUUUUAUAUGUAACUCUGCAUGAAUAUGUAGGACUGAUCCCUGCUGUGUGCAUAUAGUGGAUGCAGUACUCAUGUCUGCUGGCAGUUUGCUCUAUUCUGUUCUAUACAAUUG